RNAcentral lists this ribosomal RNA (733 nucleotides) under uncultured archaeon. RNAcentral describes it as "bacterial SSU rRNA". It matches the Rfam family "Archaeal small subunit ribosomal RNA", at positions 141 to 880 of the family's 1478-position model. The record is from RNAcentral.
UGGGGUUAAUACCGGAUAGUGCAUCGAUUGCUGGAAUGCACGAUGUACGAAAGCUGAGGCGCCCAAGGAUAGGUCUGUGGCCGAUUAGGUUGUUGUUGAUGUAACGGACCAACAAGCCUACGAUCGGUACGGGUUGUGAGAGCAAUAGCCCGGAGAUGGGUUCUGAGAGAAGAACCCAGGUCCUACGGGACGCAUCAGGCGCGAAAACUUUACAAUGUGCGAAAGCACGAUAAGGGAACUCUGAGUGCCUCCUAAGGAGGCUGUUCAGAUGUUUAAAAAGCAUCUGGAGGAAGGGCUGGGCAAGACCGGUGCCAGCCGCCGCGGUAACACCGGCAGCCCAAGUGGUAGUCAUGCUUACUGGGUCUAAAGCGUCCGUAGCCGGCCGGGUAAGUUCCUUGGGAAAUUUGAUCGCUUAACGAUCAAGCUACCUGGGAAUACUACUUGGCUUGGGACCGGGAGAGGUCAGAGGUACUUCAAGGGUAGGGGUGAAAUCCGUUAAUCCUUGGGGGACCACCAGUAGCGAAGGCGUCUGAUCAGACCGGAUCCGACGGUGAGGGACGAAGGCUAGGGGAGCGAAGCGGAUUAGAUACCCGCGUAGUCCUAGCUGUAAACGAUGCGGGCUAGGUAUUGGCAUUACUGCGAGUGAUGCCAGUGCCGAAGGGAAGCCGUUAAGCCCGCCAUCUGGGGAGUACGGUCGCAAGGCUGAAACUUAAAGGAAUUGGCGGGGAGCACC